This 379-nucleotide ribosomal RNA is filed under the name Sclerophrys xeros (desert toad). RNAcentral describes it as "partial 12S ribosomal RNA". It matches the Rfam family "Bacterial small subunit ribosomal RNA", at positions 848 to 1403 of the family's 1533-position model. The record is from RNAcentral. Lineage: Eukaryota; Metazoa; Chordata; Amphibia; Anura; Bufonidae.
AUUUACAUCUUAAUCGCCAGGGAACUACGAGCUAAGCUUAAAACCCAAAGGACUUGACGGUACCCCAUAUCCCCCUAGAGGAGCCUGUCCUAUAAUCGAUAAUCCACGUUUAACCUCACCAUUUUUAGUUAAUCAGCCUGUAUACCUCCGUCGUCAGCUUACCACGUGAGCGCCAAUUAGUGAGCUUAAUGUUACUUCACCAACACGUCAGGUCAAGGUGCAGCAAAUGAAAUGGGAAGAGAUGGGCUACACUUUCUAAUGUAGAAGAAACGAAAAACUACCUAUGAAACCUAGUUAGAAGGCGGAUUUAGCAGUAAAAAGAAAUCAUCAUGUUCAUUUUAACUCGGCACUGGGGUGUGUACACACCGCCCGUCACCCU